Mesocricetus auratus (golden hamster) is the source of this 103-nucleotide small nuclear RNA. The record is from Ensembl. NCBI's taxonomy places the organism in Eukaryota, Metazoa, Chordata, Mammalia, Rodentia, Cricetidae.
GUGCUCUCUCUGGCAGCACACAUACUAAAAUUGCAAUGCUACAGAGCUCAGCAUGGCCCCUGCCCAAGGUUGACACACCAAUGACAAAGCGCUCCAUAUUUUU